RNAcentral lists this ribosomal RNA (445 nucleotides) under uncultured bacterium. Its description in RNAcentral is "partial 16S ribosomal RNA". It matches the Rfam family "Bacterial small subunit ribosomal RNA", at positions 354 to 796 of the family's 1533-position model. The record is from RNAcentral.
GUGAGGAAUAUUGGUCAAUGGACGAGAGUCUGAACCAGCCAAGUCGCGUGAAGGAAGACGGUUCUAUGAAUUGUAAACUUCUUUUGUGCAGGAAUAAAGUGGGUUACGUGUAACCUUUUGUAUGUACUGUACGAAUAAGGAUCGGCUAACUCCGUGCCAGCAGCCGCGGUAAUACGGAGGAUCCGAGCGUUAUCCGGAUUUAUUGGGUUUAAAGGGUGCGUAGGUGGAUUGAUAAGUCAGCGGUGAAAGUUUGUAGCUUAACUGUAAAAUUGCCGUUGAAACUGUCGGUCUUGAGUGCAAAUGAGGUAGGCGGAAUGUGUUGUGUAGCGGUGAAAUGCUUAGAUAUAACACAGAACUCCGAUUGCGAAGGCAGCUUACUGGGAUGCAACUGACACUGAUGCACGAAAGCGUGGGUAUCAAACAGGAUUAGAAACCCGGGUAGUCC